This 498-nucleotide ribosomal RNA is filed under the name Rhinocylapidius vittatus. RNAcentral's name for it is "partial large subunit ribosomal RNA". It matches the Rfam family "Eukaryotic large subunit ribosomal RNA", at positions 755 to 1243 of the family's 3401-position model. The record is from RNAcentral. Lineage: Eukaryota; Metazoa; Arthropoda; Insecta; Hemiptera; Miridae.
GCACUCCCAGGGCGUCUCUAUCUCAUCGCGAGAGGAGGCGCACCUAGAGCGUACACGCUGAUACCCGAAAGAUGGUGAACUAUGCCUGGCCAGGACGAAGCCAGGGGAAACCCUGGUGGAGGUCCGCAGCGAUUCUGACGUGCAAAUCGAUCGUCGGAGCUGGGUUUAGGGGCGAAAGACCAAUCGAACCAUCUAGUAGCUGGUUCCCUCUGAAGUUUCCCUCAGGAUAGCUUGCGCUCGGGCGAGACGAGUCUCAUCCGGUAGAGCGAAUGAUUAGAGGCCUUGGGGUCGAAACGACCUCAACCUAUUCUCAAACUCCAAAUAGAUGAGAACCCUGACUUUCUUGAAAAUUGAAGCCAGGGUUUCGGAUCAGAGUGCCAAGUGGGCCAAUUUUGGUAAGCAGAACUGGCGCUGUGGGAUGAACCAAACGCGGAGUUAAGGCGCCUUAAUCGACGCUCAUGAGAAACCAUGAAAGGCGUUGGUUGCUUAAGACAGCAG